Molecule: ribosomal RNA, 845 nt
Filed under: uncultured bacterium
Lineage: Bacteria
Description: bacterial SSU rRNA
Rfam family: Bacterial small subunit ribosomal RNA
Source: RNAcentral
GCAAGUCGACGGGAUCAGGUUUGUAGCAAUACAAAUUUGGUUCAGUGGCAAACAGGUGCGUAACACGUGAGCAAUCUGCCGGGAAGUGGGGGAUAGCUCGCCGAAAGGCGAAUUAAUACCGCAUAUGGCCAGGAAGGACAUCCUUCCAACGCCAAAGUCGCAAGACGCUUCCUGAUGAGCUCGCGGCCUAUCAGCUUGUUGGUGAGGUAACGGCUCACCAAGGCUAUGACGGGUAGCUGGUCUGAGAGGACGACCAGUCACACUGGAACUGAGACACGGUCCAGACACCUACGGGUGGCAGCAGUCGAGAAUUUUUCACAAUGGGGGAAACCCUGAUGGAGCGACGCCGCGUGGAGGACGAAGGUCUUCGGAUUGUAAACUCCUGUCAUGCGGGAACAAGAAAGUGAUAGUACCGCAAGAGGAAGAGACGGCUAACUCUGUGCCAGCAGCCGCGGUAAUACAGAGGUCUCAAGCGUUGUUCGGAUUCAUUGGGCGCAAAGGGUGCGCAGGCGGCGUGGAAAGUUGAGUGUGAAAUCCUGGGGCUUAACCUCAGAACUGCACUCAAUACUCCCAUGCUAGAGGAAUGUAGAGGAGAGUGGAAUUCACGGUGUAGCAGUGAAAUGCGUAGAUAUCGUGAGGAAGACCAGUUGCGAAAGCGACUCUCUGGGCAUUUCCUGACGCUCAUGCACGAAUGCCAGGGGAGCAAACGGGAUUAGAUACCCCGGUAGUCCUGGCAGUAAACGGUGCACGUUUGGGUGUGGCGGGCUCAGACCCCGUCCGUGCCGAGCUACGCGUAAACGUGCGCCUGGGAGUACGUCGCAGAUAAAACUCAAGAAUGACGGGGC